GGAGGAGUUGGUGAGAAGUCACUGUGAUCAACAGAUCCAUCUGGAUUUAACUGGCUCUCAGCGCUCAGCAAGAAAGUGUCUUUAUCUUUUGAGUGAAGCUCCUCGACCACGUCUCCAUCUGAGGUUACAGCUUCCAAGAAGUUAGAUGGGACAAGCCCUCUCUGUUGGUUCAGCUCUCCAUAGUAGAAUCCAUCAUCAUCCAUGGACCCAAACACUGUGAU
This 221-nucleotide long non-coding RNA is filed under the name Gallus gallus (chicken). Lineage: Eukaryota; Metazoa; Chordata; Aves; Galliformes; Phasianidae. The record is from RNAcentral.